CUGACGAUAGUGUUGACUUCCUCCUACAGAGCGCGAGCAUAUCUAAAACAUUGUAAUUAAUUAGUUUACAUAUCUUUUCAUAAAAUCUUCAGCUUAUGCUCUUUUCCAUUUAAAGCAGACUUAAUUCACUGUAUUAUGCGGACUUUAUCAGGGAUUGUUCAGACAUAUUUCGAGGAAUAUGAUUUCAGACACUGUUUUCAUCUACCUGUGCGUUCUGUUCACUAGUGGUGUGUUUGAGACACAUGGAGUAAAGACAGUUUCAGUGAUGGAGGGAGAUUCUGUCACUUUAAACACUGAUGUUGAAGUACAGACUGAAGAUCAUAUUCUGUGGACAUUUGAACCACAAAGUAUUCAAAUAGCAGAAAUUAUUAAAAGGGACCAAUUACACUUUGUAUUUGUCAGUAAUGAUGGGAUAUUCAGAGAUAAACUGCAUAUGGACAAUCAAACUGGAUCUCUGACCAUCAGAAACAUCAGAUCUGAACACAGUGGACUUUACCAGAUGCAGAUCAGUAGUUCAAAAGUCUUACUGAAGAGAUUCAAUGUUACUUUGUAUGACUGAAGCUGGUCCCUGGAACUGGAUCUCUGGCCUUCAGGAACAUGAAAACCACAGAAUCUGGACUUUAUCAUCUAAAUAUCGCCGGUCCCAGAGGAAAAGAGUCAAAGACAUUUAAUGUCACUGUUUACAGUGAGUGUUUCGUAUAUGUAAUCUAAAAUGAAAUAGCCUAAUGUGAGAGGUUUAAAAAAUUAUUUUCAUUACAUUUACAGAAUUUAAGAUUUGUCCACUUGCUUUGUGGCCACAAAGGUGCUGUAAUGUUACAGACAUAAAUGUGUUUUUAUAUACCUACUAUAGUGUUUUACAGGCUCCUCGUCCACCUCUACAGUAAGUGACUCCAGAAACUGUUCUUUAUCAUCAGAAAGGUCAUCAGUGACAUUUUGUAUUUUUAAAUUUUUUUAUUUUUUUCAGUUGAGGAUAUGCAACAGAUUUACUUGAUAGAAAAAUAGUUGAUUCAGCAGAAGAGGAUCAUAACGUUCAGCAACACCGAGCUGAUGUCUUUUCUGAACUUGUAUUCUCUUCAUUAUGAUUAAAUAAUAUAAAGAAACCGGUAUUUAGGUCACUUUUUUGGGGGGUAUUGGUGCCUUUUUUGUCAUACAGUUGUCUGUACAUAUAAAAGCUUUUGUUUUCCCCUAAGGCGGUAAAUUAAAUAACAUAGAUCUAAUUCUUAUAUUUUUGGUUAAAACAUUUGGUCUGUAUUUCUACACAGCUAGAGAAGAUAGAGAACGUAUACAUACACUGUUGUUGCACAUUCCUUCAGGAAGUGAAGCAGGAAGUGAAGAGUGCACGUUUUUCAGUUCAUGAUCUGUUUUGACUCAUAACCAGAAAUGUUUGAUUUUUACUUCAAAAAUAUUUGUUAAAUGCAUUUAAAUGCAGGCAAUAUUACAUGUUAAAGACUGUAUGAAUUAUGCUGUAUUAAGAACUACUCAUCGAAAAUAAAGG
Long non-coding RNA from Onychostoma macrolepis, 1495 nucleotides. RefSeq lists it as uncharacterized. The record is from RefSeq and is a predicted model, not a curated record. The transcript is spliced from 3 exons. Lineage: Eukaryota; Metazoa; Chordata; Actinopteri; Cypriniformes; Cyprinidae.